Molecule: long non-coding RNA, 2284 nt
Filed under: Homo sapiens (human)
Lineage: Eukaryota; Metazoa; Chordata; Mammalia; Primates; Hominidae
Description: non-protein coding lnc-PPP1R3G-3:1
Source: RNAcentral
UUGACAGAGUGACUUAACCUCUGUGCCCCAGUUCCUCCUCUGGAAAAAGGGGAAGACAGAAAUGAUAUCUUUCAUAGGGUUUUGCAGGAAUUAAAUGAGUUAACAGAGGUAAAGAGCUUAAAACAGUGGUUGCCACAUAAACACUGGGCCAAUGUUACCCAGGUUAAAUGUCAGCUACCUGCAGGGGUCUCUGCUCAUUCUGGGCUGGUUCAUGACUGAUCCACAGGCGCCCGCCACUACCCCCAGCUAAUUUUUUGUAUUUUUAGUAGAGACAGGGUUUCACCGUGUUAGCCAGGAUGGUCUCGAUCUCCUGACCUCGUGAUCCGCCCGCCUCGGCCUCCCAAAGUGCUGGAAUUACAGACGUGAGCCACCACGCCCAGCCAGUUCAUAAGGAUUAUGAUUGUUACCACCGGUUCUUGCCAUCCAUAUUCCCCUCACUCCCCCCUUCUUUCCCUCCCCAUUCUCCUAACUACUAUGAAUAGGAAAUAUAUAUAUAUAAAAAAUAUAUAUAUAAUGUAUAUUGUAUAUCAUGUAUAUAUUACAUAUUAUUAUAUAUAUUUUGUAUAUUAUGUAAAUAUUUUGUAUCCUUCAUUCCAAUCAAGUUGACAUUCGGGAUUAACCAUCACAUCAAUAAUCAAGACAGUAUAGAAAGUGAGACUAGUUCAUUAACGGCACUAUGUGUAUGGCGUAUACGGUGAUGCCUAGGUUACCAUUCUCUGGGGUGUGCACCCAGGCCUGAAAGGCACUAAGUGCAAAUGGAGUCGUUAACUGUGGGCAUAAGUUGUCUCAGGGCCAGGCUGGUGGCUGGGGAGGAGGUGGCCCCGGGGAAGAGACUGUAGGACAGGAAAUGGAAACCUGAAUCCUAAGACAUAGUCCACGUCUAAUAUGAUGUCUAAGGCUAUGUUUUCAUGAGUAAAGCUUCUCCACUCAGCAAGCCUUUAAAGCACCUGGGUUAUGAUGCGCAUGGAUCUGGUUAAGUUACAAAGACCUACUCCCCAGAAACCAGAAACAAAAAGAACUGUCAGACUCCUGGAUAUCUUGCUCUUGCGGGUACUGUGCAGGUCUCUGUGUGUGCCAGGUUCUGUUGCUGUUUUAACGUCCUACGUAAAUAAAAGAGAGAGGAAAGUGCUGCUGUUUCACUGGAGAUAUUUUCGUUCUUUUUUGAGGGGGUGGGAUGAGUAUUCCCUAAAAGUAACCUCUGAAAGAGCUGUAAACAUGAUCUAAUAAACAAUGAUCUCAAAGCUCCCUACCUUUGGGGGCUGUUAAGUUAAUGUGAAUGCCCACUAAUUUUCCAGGUGGUCCACUUGGUUAAGAAUAUCUCUUCCCUUUCUCAAAGAACUAAAAUUAGAACUGUCAUUUGACCCAGCAAUCCCUCUACUGGGUAUCUACCUAAAGAAAAAGAAAUCGUUCUGUCAAAAAGACACCUGCACAUGUAUGUUUAUUGCAGCACUGUUCACAAUAGCAAAAAAGAAUGAAAUUAUGUUCUUUGCAGCAGCACAAUGCAGCUGAAGGCCAUUAUCCAAGGUGAAUUAAUGCAGAAACAGAAAAUCAAAUACCACACCUCUUCCCCUUCUUUGCCUCGCUUUUCGUGGCAAAAAUAGAAAAAAUCGAGUCACAUAAUUUCUUGUUCUUUUGGAAUUAAUGGUAUUUCCCAUGAGUGUGAAAUUAUGAAGAGUUGCUCCUAGAAAGCCAUUUUGUUCUACAAGCAUGUUUAAUCAAGAAAAUAAAUAUCCUUUUGCAAAUUUUUAUAAGCAUGUAAGGCAUAUUUCUUGCAGAAGCUGAGACAUAUUUAAUGCAGAAGCUGAUUUCAAAUUGGCUUAAUUUUUAAUGCCUGCAUUGGAAUAAACCUGUAUCCCAUUUCCUUUCCUUAUGUGGGACCCAAGACCUUGUCUCAAGCACGAGAAGGUCCAGUUUAAGUAAAAUUAGUGUUUCUCAGGAGACGAGAGAGGCCCUGAUAAGAUCCUCAAGUUGAAACACGCUAAAACCCUAGCAAAUUGAAUUGAGACCUAGAUAUAUUAUUAGAAAGUACAGACCCUCAAAGGUAAAGUAGAAGAUGUUGAAGGCACAGAGGGAGAAAGAGAGAUCGCCUGAGGGUCUGUAAUGACACUGACUAUGGAUUUCCACAGUAAUCAUAGAAGUAUGAAGAUGGAGCUGAGAACGUAACUGCCAACCUAGAAUACUUUACUAAUGUAAAAUAUGAUUCAAGAAACAAAAUGAAAUGGACACUUUCAAACAAGCCCUGAAAUUUUUACCACUGGUGGACUCUUGCUAAAAAGAUCAUGAA